GCAAAGAACCAAAUCCCGCUGCAAGAAUUCAGAAGAAAACAAAUGCGCACAUGAUAUACUCUUCCAAAAUAAGCCCUCAUCUUCCAAUAAGAAAAUUCUUCAUAAAAAAAAUGUGCAGGAAUCCAAAAGGAAAAAUGUUGAAUAAAGUAAGCUGUCCUUUAGAAGAAAAGAUGGGGAAUUCUAUUGGAAAAGAUGAUCACCCUUUUAUAAAGAAAUUCUAUUCAUGCAAAAUGUUGGUCCAAACAGCAAAAAAACAAAAUAAUGGGUCAUAAUUGGCCCAUUUGUGAUAGGAAGGAAGAAAAUGAUGAAGAGAAGAAACCCAACUCGGUGUUAUCACCAUGUUCCAAUCUGAGGAUUCAAUAGUAUCAAGACAAAGUACAAUUAACAAAGUAAUGAAAAAUGAAGGAUGAUACAGUGUAGAAUAAGAAAAUCCCAGGUAAGAAUUAACCACAGUUGAAGUAAACAAUCCGGCAACACAACACUCUUCGCUGUUCUAGGCAGAUCAAAAUACCUUAAUGGCUAAGUUCUAAGCAGGUGAAACCACCUAAUGCUAACAGCAAAUAGCUUGUGCAAUAAUACAGCUUCUGACACAAACAAUUACUGAUUUGCUGCUUUGCGAGGCAACUUAAAACUAGGACACUAAUUCUGUGAAAAGGUACCUUUAUUUUUUCACGUUUAAUAAU
Molecule: unclassified non-coding RNA, 683 nt
Filed under: Hevea brasiliensis (rubber tree)
Lineage: Eukaryota; Viridiplantae; Streptophyta; Magnoliopsida; Malpighiales; Euphorbiaceae
Source: RNAcentral